UACGGAGGGGGCUAGCGUUGUUCGGAAUUACUGGGCGUAAAGCGCACGUAGGCGGCUUUGCAAGUCAGAGGUGAAAGCCCGGGGCUCAACCCCGGAAUUGCCUUUGAGACUGCAUCGCUAGAAUUGUGGAAAGGUAAGUGGAAUUCCGAGUGUAGAGGUGAAAUGCGUAGAUAUCUGGAGGAACACCGGUGGCGAAGGCGGCAUUCUGGACAAUAACUGACACUGAGAGACGAAAGCCAGGGGAGCAAACGGG
Molecule: ribosomal RNA, 253 nt
Filed under: uncultured bacterium
Lineage: Bacteria
Description: partial 16S ribosomal RNA
Rfam family: Bacterial small subunit ribosomal RNA
Source: RNAcentral